This is a ribosomal RNA of 800 nucleotides. It matches the Rfam family "Eukaryotic large subunit ribosomal RNA", at positions 81 to 868 of the family's 3401-position model.
UAGUACUGCGAGUGAAGCGGGAAAAGCUCAAAUUUAAAAUCUGGCAGUCUUUGAUUGUCCGAGUUGUAAUCUAGAGAAGCAUUAUCCGCGCUGGACCGUGUACAAGUCUCCUGGAAUGGAGCGUCAUAGAGGGUGAGAAUCCCGUCUUUGACACGGACUGCCAGGGCUUUGUGAUGUGCUCUCAAAGAGUCGAGUUGUUUGGGAAUGCAGCUCAAAAUGGGUGGUAAAUUCCAUCUAAAGCUAAAUAUUGGCGAGAGACCGAUAGCGAACAAGUACCGUGAGGGAAAGAUGAAAAGAACUUUGGAAAGAGAGUUAAACAGUACGUGAAAUUGCUGAAAGGGAAACGCUUGAAGUCAGUCGCGUUGGCCGGGAAUCAACCUUGCUUUUGCUGGGCGUACUUCCUGGUUAACGGGUCAGCAUCAAUUUUGACCGUUGGAUAAAGUUGCUGGGAAUGUGGCAUCUUCGGAUGUGUUAUAGCCCAGUUUCGCAUACAACGGUUGGGAUUGAGGAACUCAGCACGCCGCAAGGCCGGGUUUUUAACCACGUUCGUGCUUAGGAUGCUGGCAUAAUGGCUUUAAUCGACCCGUCUUGAAACACGGACCAAGGAGUCUAACAUGCCUGCGAGUGUUUGGGUGGAAAACCCGAGCGCGUAAUGAAAGUGAAAGUUGAGAUCCCUGUCGUGGGGAGCAUCGACGCCCGGACUUGAACUUCUGUGACGGAUCCGCGGUAGAGCAUGUAUGUUGGGACCCGAAAGAUGGUGAACUAUGCCUGAAUAGGGUGAAGCCAGAGGAAACUCUGGU